RNAcentral lists this ribosomal RNA (507 nucleotides) under uncultured bacterium. RNAcentral's name for it is "partial 16S ribosomal RNA". The record is from RNAcentral.
GGAGUUAGCCGGUGCUUCUUCUGUGAGUGAUGUCCUUCCUGCCGGCUAUUAACCCGCAGGCCUUCUUCCUCACUGAAAGUGCUUUACAACCCGAAGGCCUUCUUCACACACGCGGCAUGGCUGGAUCAGGGUUGCCCCCAUUGUCCAAUAUUCCCCACUGCUGCCUCCCGUAGGAGUCUGGGCCGUGUCUCAGUCCCAGUGUGGCUGAUCAUCCUCUCAGACCAGCUACGGAUCGUCGCCUUGGUGAGCCGUUACCUCACCAACCAGCUAAUCCUACAUAGGCUCAUCCGAUAGCGCGAGGCCCGAAGGUCCCCCGCUUUCCCCCGUAGGGCGUAUGCGGUAUUAGCCUGGGUUUCCCCAGGUUAUCCCCCACUACCGGGCAGAUUCCUAUGCAUUACUCACCCGUCCGCCGCUCGCCACCAGGGAGCAAGCUCCCCGUGCUGCCGCUCGACUUGCAUGUGUUAGGCCUGCCGCCAGCGUUCAAUCUGAGCCAGGAUCAAACUCUGA